Molecule: ribosomal RNA, 432 nt
Filed under: uncultured bacterium
Lineage: Bacteria
Description: partial 16S ribosomal RNA
Rfam family: Bacterial small subunit ribosomal RNA
Source: RNAcentral
AACGAACGCUGGCGGCAUGCCUAACACAUGCAAGUCGAACGAGACCUUCGGGUCUAGUGGCGCACGGGUGCGUAACGCGUGGGAACCUGCCCUUAGGUUCGGAAUAACUCCCCGAAAGGGGUGCUAAUACCGGAUAAUGUCUUCGGACCAAAGAUUUAUCGCCUUUGGAUGGGCCCGCGUUGGAUUAGCUAGUUGGUAGGGUAAAAGCCUACCAAGGCGACGAUCCAUAGCUGGUCUGAGAGGAUGAUCAGCCACACUGGGACUGAGACACGGCCCAGACUCCUACGGGAGCAAGCAGUGGGGAAUAUUGGACAUGGGGCGAAGGCCUGAUCAAGAAUUGCCGCGUGAGGGAUGAAGGCUUUAGGUUUGUAAAGCCCUUUUACCCGGAUUAUUAAUGAAAGUACCGGAAGAUUAAGUCCCGGUUACUCCGUG